Non-coding RNA from Aedes aegypti (yellow fever mosquito), 46 nucleotides. Lineage: Eukaryota; Metazoa; Arthropoda; Insecta; Diptera; Culicidae. The record is from Rfam.
CCAUCGGCCCUUUUCAGGGCCAACAAUCGUUCAUAAAAGGGAUAAU